AACCCCUCAAGCUCAGCUUGGUGUUGGGUGCUUGUCCCGCCUCCGCGCGGCGACUCACCUCAAAAUCAGUGGCAGCCCGCACCCGCCGGCCGUGAGCGCAGCACAGUCGCGCCCUAGGCCGUUGGCAGGUCGGCUCUCCAGAAGCUCCUUCUUCCAC
RNAcentral lists this unclassified non-coding RNA (157 nucleotides) under uncultured Pleosporales. RNAcentral describes it as "sequence contains ITS2". Lineage: Eukaryota; Fungi; Ascomycota; Dothideomycetes; Pleosporales. The record is from RNAcentral.